GUGCUCACCUCAGCAGCAUACAUACUAAAAAUUAGAACAAUACAGAGAAGAUUAGCAUGGCCCCUGCACAAGGAUGAGAUGCAAACUCGUGAAGCGUUCCAUAUUUUU
RNAcentral lists this small nuclear RNA (108 nucleotides) under Aotus nancymaae (Ma's night monkey). Lineage: Eukaryota; Metazoa; Chordata; Mammalia; Primates; Aotidae. The record is from RNAcentral.